GACGAACGCUGGCGGCGUGCUUAACACAUGCAAGUCGAACGGAAAGGCCCUGCUUUUGUGGGGUGCUCGAGUGGCGAACGGGUGAGUAACACGUGAGUAACCUGCCCUUGACUUUGGGAUAACUUCAGGAAACUGGGGCUAAUACCGGAUAGGAGCUCCUGCUGCAUGGUGGGGGUUGGAAAGUUUCGGCGGUUGGGGAUGGACUCGCGGCUUAUCAGCUUGUUGGUGGGGUAGUGGCUUACCAAGGCUUUGACGGGUAGCCGGCCUGAGAGGGUGACCGGCCACAGUGGGACUGAGAGACGGCCCAGACUCCUACGGGAGGCAGCAGUGGGGAAGAUUGCACAAGGGGCGGAAGCCUGAUGCAGCAACGCCGCGUGCGGGAUGACGGCCUUCGGGUUGUAAACCGCUUUCGCCUGUGACGAAGCGUGAGUGACGGUAAUGGGUAAAGAAGCACCGGCUAACUACGUG
RNAcentral lists this ribosomal RNA (468 nucleotides) under uncultured bacterium. Its description in RNAcentral is "partial 16S ribosomal RNA". It matches the Rfam family "Bacterial small subunit ribosomal RNA", at positions 28 to 507 of the family's 1533-position model. The record is from RNAcentral.